GCUUCCUGCCAUUCCUCACCUUCUUCUUCUUGUUUGCAAAUGGGAAGGAGGACCCAGCAGCUUGGAUUGUGCAGCGACGACGAGCAGACUCAGUUAUCGACAUCUUCUUCAUCAAAGGUUUGAUGGGUUUUUGUUAAAUCUUAAUCAUGAUCAUCGUCCUUUUGUUUCUUUCUUCAAUAAUUGAAUUGGGUGCUGUAUGUGACUGACACAUAUGUAAGAUCUCGAAAGGAUUUGAUCGAUG
Molecule: unclassified non-coding RNA, 241 nt
Filed under: Hevea brasiliensis (rubber tree)
Lineage: Eukaryota; Viridiplantae; Streptophyta; Magnoliopsida; Malpighiales; Euphorbiaceae
Source: RNAcentral